UACGUAGGGAGCAAGCGUUGUUCGGAUUUACUGGGCGUAAAGGGCGCGUAGGCGGCAAAUUAAGUCAGCUGUGAAAUCUCCGAGCUUAACUCGGAACGGUCAGCUGAUACUGAUCUGCUAGAGUGCGGAAGGGGCAAUCGGAAUUCUUUGUGUAGCGGUGAAAUGCGUAGAUAUCAAGAGGAACACCUGAGGUGAAGACGGGUUGCUGGGCCGACACUGACGCUGAGUGCGCGAAAGCCAGGGGAGCAAACGGG
RNAcentral lists this ribosomal RNA (254 nucleotides) under uncultured bacterium. Its description in RNAcentral is "partial 16S ribosomal RNA". It matches the Rfam family "Bacterial small subunit ribosomal RNA", at positions 524 to 776 of the family's 1533-position model. The record is from RNAcentral.